RNAcentral lists this ribosomal RNA (593 nucleotides) under uncultured bacterium. RNAcentral describes it as "bacterial SSU rRNA". It matches the Rfam family "Bacterial small subunit ribosomal RNA", at positions 29 to 669 of the family's 1533-position model. The record is from RNAcentral.
ACGAACGCUGGCGGCAGGCCUAACACAUGCAAGUCGAGCGCACUCUUCGGAGUGAGCGGCGGACGGGUUAGUAACGCGUGGGAACGUGCCCAGAUCUAAGGAAUAGCCACUGGAAACGGUGAGUAAUACCUUAUACGCCCUUCGGGGGAAAGAUUUAUCGGAUUUGGAUCGGCCCGCGUUAGAUUAGAUAGUUGGUGGGGUAACGGCCUACCAAGUCUACGAUCUAUAGCUGGUUUUAGAGGAUGAUCAGCAACACUGGGACUGAGACACGGUCCAGGACUCCUACGGGAGGCAGCAGUGGGGAAUCUUGGACAAUGGGGGCAACCCUGAUCCAGCCAUGCCGCGUGAGUGAUGAAGGCCCUAGGGUCGUAAAGCUCUUUCGCCAGAGAUGAUAAUGACAGUAUCUGGUAAAGAAACCCCGGCUAACUCCGUGCCAGCAGCCGCGGUAAUACGGAGGGGGUUAGCGUUGUUCGGAAUUACUGGGCGUAAAGCGCGCGUAGGCGGAUCGGAAAGUUGGGGGUGAAAUCCCGGGGCUCAACCCNGNACUGCCUCCAAACUAUCGGUCUAGAGUUCGAGAGAGGUGAGUGGAAUUC